Molecule: ribosomal RNA, 502 nt
Filed under: uncultured bacterium
Lineage: Bacteria
Description: bacterial SSU rRNA
Rfam family: Bacterial small subunit ribosomal RNA
Source: RNAcentral
GACGAACGCUGGCGGCGUGCUUAACACAUGCAAGUCGAACGGAGAUUUUAUUUCGGUAAAAUCUUAGUGGCGAACGGGUGAGUAACGCGUAGGCAACCUGCCCCACAGCCGGGGACAACUUCCCGAAAGGGAGGCUAAUACCGGAUACGAACCGGGCAUCGCAUGAUGCCGGGUUGAAAGAUGGCCUCUAUUUAUAAGCUAUCGCUGUGGGAUGGGCCUGCGUCCGAUUAGCUGGUUGGUGAGGUAACGGCCCACCAAGGCGACGAUCGGUAGCCGGUCUGAGAGGAUGGACGGCCACAUUGGGACUGAGACACGGCCCAGACUCCUACGGGAGGCAGCAGUGGGGAAUCUUCCGCAAUGGACGCAAGUCUGACGGAGCAACGCCGCGUGAGGGAGGAAGUUUUUCGGAACGUAAACCUCUGUUGUUCAUGACGAACGAGCUUUUUAUCAACAACGAAGAGCAGUGACGGUAGUGAACGAGGAAGCCACGGCUAACUACGUG